GUGGAUUAGAUACCCUGGUAGUCCUGGCCGUAAACGAUGGGUACUAGGUGUAGGGGGUAUCGACCCCUCCUGUGCCGGAGUUAACGCAAUAAGUACCCCGCCUGGGGAGUACGAUCGCAAGAUUGAAACUCAAAGGAAUUGACGGGGGCCCGCACAAGCGGUGGAGUAUGUGGUUUAAUUCGACGCAACGCGAAGAACCUUACCAAGGCUUGACAUUGAGUGAAAGGCUCAGAGAUGAGUCCCUCCCUUCGGGGACACAAAAACAGGUGGUGCAUGGCUGUCGACAACU
RNAcentral lists this ribosomal RNA (289 nucleotides) under uncultured bacterium. RNAcentral describes it as "partial 16S ribosomal RNA". It matches the Rfam family "Bacterial small subunit ribosomal RNA", at positions 773 to 1060 of the family's 1533-position model. The record is from RNAcentral.